GGGAAACUUGAGCUAAUACCAUAUAAUGUCUUCGGACCAAAGAUUUAUCGCCUGAGNUAAGCCCGCGUAGGAUUAGCUAGUUGGUGAGGUAAAGGCUCACCAAGGCGACGAUCCUUAGCUGGUCUGAGAGGAUGAUCAGCCACACUGGGACUGAGACACGGCCCAGACUCCUACGGGAGGCAGCAGUGGGGGAAUAUUGGACAAUGGGCGAAAGCCCUGAUCCAGCAAUGCCGCGUGAGUGAUGAAGGCCUUCGGGUUGUAAAGCUCUUUUACUCGGGACGAUAAUGACGGUACCGAGAGAAUAAGCCCCGGCUAACUCCGUG
RNAcentral lists this ribosomal RNA (323 nucleotides) under uncultured bacterium. Its description in RNAcentral is "bacterial SSU rRNA". It matches the Rfam family "Bacterial small subunit ribosomal RNA", at positions 151 to 507 of the family's 1533-position model. The record is from RNAcentral.